This 232-nucleotide ribosomal RNA is filed under the name uncultured bacterium. RNAcentral describes it as "partial 16S ribosomal RNA". It matches the Rfam family "Bacterial small subunit ribosomal RNA", at positions 118 to 350 of the family's 1533-position model. The record is from RNAcentral.
UGGGCAACCUGCCCCUCUCUCUGGGAUAACCCCGGGAAACCGGAGCUAAUACCGGAUACUCCGGCUGGAUCGCAUGGUCCGGCCGGGAAAGGUCCGCCGGAGAGGGAUGGGCCCGCGGCCUAUCAGCUUGUUGGUGGGGUCAUGGCUCACCAAGGCGACGACGGGUAGCUGGUCUGAGAGGAUGGCCAGCCACAUUGGAACUGAGACACGGUCCAGACUCCUACGGGAGGCA